Long non-coding RNA from Carya illinoinensis, 837 nucleotides. RefSeq lists it as uncharacterized. The transcript has 4 exons. Lineage: Eukaryota; Viridiplantae; Streptophyta; Magnoliopsida; Fagales; Juglandaceae. The record is from RefSeq and is a predicted model, not a curated record.
CGAAGAGUAAAUAUAUUAUUAUAGAGGAAAACAACAUUUUCUUCUCCCUCCUCCUCUCUCUCUCAUCUCAGUUUUCCACAAAAGAGUUGAAUUUUUUUGGCCCUUUCUGGGUGUGAGAGUGGCUGCCAUGAGUGACGCUUCCCAUAGCAGAAACCCCUCUAUGGAAACUGAUCAGGAUGGAUAUAGGGAUCAUCAAGAUGAUCAGCAGGAUAUAGACGGUAGAGGAUAUCGAUUGGUCAUACCAGAAGAUGGAUAUGAAUGGAAAAAAUAUGGCCAGAAGUUCAUAAAAAAUAUUGGCAAAGUCAGAAGCUAUUUCAAGUGCCAAAGAAGUAAUUGUGGUGCGAAGAAGAGAGCAGACUGGUCCACCUUGGAGGCCGGUAGUCUACGAGUGGUGUAUGAUGGGGUGCAUAGCCACGAGUUGCCCUCAUUAAUAUCCCAAGCCGACCAACGUCAUCAUGGAAGUACUACUAGUACCAAUUCAUCAUCAUCAUCUGCCAACCAAUAUGAUUUGUUGACACAAGUUUUUGGAGAUCAUUAUCGAUCAUUAACUAAUGCUCAUCAUCAACAUCAUGAUCAUGAGAAUUAAUAAUGAAUGAUGGAUCAAGUACUACAGCUUGCCUUGCAGCUUAUUAUAUAUGUAUUUGAUCGCAACAGUACCAGUACUCAUCGAUCGAAGGAUCGGAUGAGAUUAGCAUUAAUAAUCUUUCGUCUGAGCGUGGAAUGCAGUGCAGUUGGUUCAAAUGUUACUUUGUAAUGCUGGAAAUGCAUCGAUCGAAGCGCAUAACUGGUAAUUAAUUUUCAAAUAUUAAUCAUGAAGUAGAUUCCUAAAAGGUAUGU